CGGUUGCUAGGUGACAUCGAGAAAUCGUUGGCAGUUAGCAAGUUGUACUUCAUCUAACGUAGAAGCUCGCCGUGCCUACACCGAGUAUCUACGCUUUUUU
Pediococcus cellicola is the source of this 100-nucleotide regulatory RNA element. It matches the Rfam family "23S methyl RNA motif". The record is from Rfam. NCBI's taxonomy places the organism in Bacteria, Bacillati, Bacillota, Bacilli, Lactobacillales, Lactobacillaceae.